GGUCUAGAAGCUCUCCAACAAGAGGGAGAUUGCUAGAACUUGUGUAACAAACCAGAUCUUGGUAUAAAAAUAAAAAUAAAUAAAAAUAGUGUGAGAUACUAUUUUUAUUGGAUUUAGAAAAGUAAAACAUAAGUCAGAAGUGACUUGUGCUGAAAUCGGAAUGAAAACAGAAGAUUUAGAAUUUUCUGUUGGAAACAGGACAGAUAAAUUAGCAGAAAAUGCAUAGUGUCAAAAAAUUAUAAAAACUAGAGGAUAAGUCUGGAUUAUUUUUAUGAGGCUAGAUUUAAAGUUUCAUGUAAUUCUGACACCCGGAAGGUGGAAAAUAAAAUCCGACAACUAUCUGAUAAAGAUUACAGUUCGGUACAGUUUUCGGUGACCAAACGGGGUCGAAACUGAAAUAUUAAAAUUUCUUUGGACUCGUUAAGUAAAACCGAACAUGACUGUCAAAUUUGAGCUCAAACGGAUAUUCAGGGAGCUCCGGCGAAAGAUAUUAGAUUUCGAGCUGACCGGAGAUAAAUAGUGUAUUGUUGAGGGGUCGAAACUGAAAUAUUAAAAUUUCUUUGGACUCGUUAAGUAAAACCGAACAUGACUGUCAAAUUUGAGCUCAAACGGAUAUUUAGGGAGCUCCGGCGAAAGAUAUCAAAUUUCGAGCUGCCCGGAGAUAAAUAGUGUAUUAUUAGGGGGCUUUGUGUAAAAUCUGCACUAGUCUUCUUCUUCUCCUCAACCAUAUGCAGCCACACACACACACACUCACACGCAUACAU
Molecule: long non-coding RNA, 764 nt
Filed under: Ananas comosus (pineapple)
Lineage: Eukaryota; Viridiplantae; Streptophyta; Magnoliopsida; Poales; Bromeliaceae
Description: long non-coding RNA (ACOM_LNC023388)
Source: RNAcentral